CCAGACUCCUACGGGAGGCAGCAGUGAGGAAUAUUGGUCAAUGGCCGAGAGGCUGAACCAGCCAAGUCGCGUGAGGGAAGACGGCCCUACGGGUUGUAAACCUCUUUUGUCGGGGAGCAAAGAGAAUCACGUGUGACUCAUUGAGAGUACCCGAAGAAAAAGCAUCGGCUAACUCCGUGCCAGCAGCCGCGGUAAUACGUAGGGGGCAAGCGUUAUCCGGAUUUACUGGGUGUAAAGGGAGCGUAGACGGCGAAGCAAGUCUGAAGUGAAAACCCAGGGCUCAACCCUGGGACUGCUUUGGAAACUGUUUUGCUAGAGUGUCGGAGAGGUAAGUGGAAUUCCUAGUGUAGCGGUGAAAUGCGUAGAUAUCACGCAGAACUCCGAUUGCGAAGGCAGCAUACCGGCGCCCAACUAACGCUGAAGCACGAAAGCGUGGGUAUCGAACAGGAUUAGAUACCCGCGUAC
RNAcentral lists this ribosomal RNA (465 nucleotides) under uncultured bacterium. Its description in RNAcentral is "bacterial SSU rRNA". It matches the Rfam family "Bacterial small subunit ribosomal RNA", at positions 331 to 793 of the family's 1533-position model. The record is from RNAcentral.